ACACCUACCCUUCCUCUUGGCUUUAUCAAUUACGGAAUGGGAAGAGUGACUUCUAGUGGAAAGGAUUACAAGGGAUGUGGUAGAACCUUCCAGAAGCUAUAGUGAAAUAACUGGGAUGGAAGACUCAGUUCAUCAACUUGCUCAACUCUGAUGACCUCUUUACUACAACCACAAGCAGGGAUGGUCAGACCCUUGAUCUUAUCAUCUACCACAAGGUAUUCCAUUAAGCUUCAGAAUCCAUCCCUGGGGCUACACUAUCUUGACUGGGAAACCAGAGAAGCUUCUUAUCACUCUAGAAGAAACAACAGUGGCUCAGCAAACAGAAAUCUGCCAUGAACUUCAUCAGCAAAGGUGCUACUUUGGUCUCAAGAGACAACACCUGAGGGGGUUGCCUGGAGUAUUAUAGGGCCAUGUUUUGUUGUCUUAAUGUUAUCUAUGUCAACAUACUCUUUCCUUUACCUCCUUGUUGACCUAGAUCGGUUCUGAGCAGCUGUGGGACUAGGGUAGGGAGUUUCCACCACUUAUGCUGCUGUGGGUGCGUGAUAGCAUGACAUUGUGUGCAGACUCCCUAAUGUAAUCCAUGUGCUCCAAGGCACUGUACCUCCAACAGCAACUUCUCUAACUUUAGCAUAAAUUCAGAGGCCUUCUCUUGCACCAGUUGGGAAGUAGAUAGGAACUUUAUUUAGGUGUCCUCAGCCCUUAGAUUAAAUCGGCUAUUCUCCAUCCACAAACAUUACUGCGCUGUCCCCUGACAGUAUCACAUCUUCACUGUGUGUGUAAUAUCAACAACGGGACUCCUGAGGCUCUCUAGCAUUAGUCUUCGAUUCUCUGAACAAGUUUGUUGCCGUGUCUGUGAUAUGUUCAAACCCAAUAUCAAAGGCUUCCUCUUUAGGUAACUGGUCAUGGUCUCCAAAGAACAACUUUCAUUUUCCUUAGAACCUUGCUGCCUCACCCCUGAUUAUACUGCUUGAAUAACAACCUAUACCAGGGGUUGAUGAAUUACUGCCCUCAACCUAUUUGUGUACAGCUGGUGAGCUAAGAUUGAUUUUUAUAUUUUAAAAUAUUAAACAACUAAAUAUCCUUAGCUUCCCAGUCUGUAUUACAAUGUAAGCUAAUGCUUGUGUAACAAAACUUUAGGUCUGAUCAGCCCUCAGCCUACUCCUUGACUCUAUCAUACUGAUUCUCAUAAUCCUAAUUCUGAAGUAAUCUAGGGUGUGUGUAUAUUUUCUUAUUCUUACUAAAACUGUAACCUUUCUCCCAUUAAUCAAUCAAUUAGCUCUGUGCCCCCUCCCCCAGUUUAUAAAAUAUCAUUUAUUUAAUAAACUGGAGAAAUCUUUUUUUCUAGUAACUUAUCUCCUUAUAAAUAUCAAAACCUCUAAUCUCCUAGGUUUAAAUAAAUAUCAAAAUUACUGUCUACAGUAUGUGUAACCAACAAAAACACAAGAUAUAAAUAUACCAUUUAUGUUUUAGUUAUGAGAAAGAUCACAGCCAGAGUCACCUCCAAAUAUCAUUCUUACUUGUGACUUCUCACUUCUGGCAUACAGUCACACACAAUUCAGCUCUUAAUAUUACAGGCAAGAUACCCAGUCUUCUCUCAUUUACUUGCAGCAUAAGGGUUAAACCAAGCUCCCUCAAGGAUUAAGUUCUUCCUCUCUGUCCUCUAAUAGUUUCUUUCUAGCCAUAAUAGGUAUUUUUCCUAAACGACAGUUAAAAUUGCUGCAAUAAAUAAUAAAACAGUAAAAACAAAAACAAAUAAAUGGCAUGGCGGUAUUUUCAUUAAAACCUUUCAUGUACUAUGGCCAAAGGGCUAUAAAACUGUGCAUACCCUUUGAUCCUGCAGUACCACUGCUAAGUCUGUAU
This is a long non-coding RNA of Trichosurus vulpecula (common brushtail), 1860 nucleotides long. RefSeq lists it as uncharacterized. NCBI's taxonomy places the organism in Eukaryota, Metazoa, Chordata, Mammalia, Diprotodontia, Phalangeridae. The record is from RefSeq and is a predicted model, not a curated record. The transcript has 4 exons.